Long non-coding RNA from Patella vulgata (common limpet), 622 nucleotides. RefSeq lists it as uncharacterized. The transcript is spliced from 4 exons. The record is from RefSeq and is a predicted model, not a curated record. Lineage: Eukaryota; Metazoa; Mollusca; Gastropoda; Patellidae.
CGGUCUGAUAGCGUUUCGAUAAACUUUGUUUAACUCCAGACGCUUCCCGUAAAGUCACUAGGGCGCCAGAAUGAAUACUUUAUUGGUCAUAAUGUUGGCUAGUGCGGCACUUCUUGCUGUCACAGGUGAUCCUCACACAGAGGUCGACCCUCCUGUAAUAGAAAUACCAAUGGACGAACCGCAUUAUUUUAAGCCCUAUCAAAUGGAGCAGCCAUACUAUCGGGAUCAGACAUACCAUAGGGAUCCAUACUAUCGGGAUCAGCCAUACUAUCGGGAUCAGCCAUACUAUCGACACGACGGGUGCGAAGACACCAAACAGGAAUUGAGGCAUCUGGCCUAUAAGCUGACUGACUUGGCUCAUGAAAUAUCUGCCUUAAGUGAUAAAAGAAACACGGAAAGGCCAUAUUACCCUGGUGAGAAACCUUAUUACCCUGGUGAGAAACCUUAUUACCCUGGUGAGAAACCUUAUUACCCUGGUGAGAAACCUUAUUACCCUGGUGAGAAACCUUACUGGCCGACCUGGUUACGAGAAAAAGUCUGGUAGAAUAAAUGCGAUAUCUUUAAAUACAUUUAAGUUAUACGACAUCCAGAUUAAAUCAAAUAUAUAUAUAUAUAUAUGAAU